AGUUUCUCCGUUAGAGUAGGUAGCCGUGGGUAGCCGCCGCGAUCGUGCGUAUCGGCCGCGCUCUUGCUCGCGAUCGCACGGACCUCCGCUGGGCUCGAGCACAGCAUCGAGUUGGUAUCCCGGCGAUCGUAGCCACCCGUGGUGAGCCACGUCUGGUACCUGGUGAGGCUCGUCGUCGUGAUCCGCCCCGUCGUGGGAGCGAGCGAGCGAGCGAGCUCCGUGACGGUCGCGAGAGCGUUGCGUCGGGCCGGGUUUAUUGUGUCAGCCAGAUCGGGCCACUUAACGGCCGCCAUCUUGCUGCGCUGCGAAGGUAGAAAAGGGGCUUGUGACAGGCCUGUCGCAGUCAGUCGCGCGGAAGGAGCGAGGGACGAGGGACGGGGACGGUCGAGUCGGAGAGAGACAUACGAGGAGAGCGGUUCCUUCAUGCGGUACGCGCACUCAUCCUGUCGUCUGUGCGCUUCAGUUCACGAGCAAUCGUCAAGAGUGUUCGAGGAACGACCGAAUAAAGUAGCCUGAGGGGAAAAAGAAGACAGGGUAUCCGUCGCGCUGAUACACCUACCUCCAGGAAGGCAGCAGGCGCGCACACAUACACACGUACACACGUAUUCACCCACGCGCGCACGCACGCACGCACGCACCACCGUCGCCGCCGCCGCCGCCGCCGCCUCCUUCUUUCGCGAUGGCCAUGGAGACGCCGAGGGAGCGUGAGAUCGCCGCCGAGGAUAGCAUCAAGGUGGUCUGCAGGUUUCGGCCGCUCAACGACUCCGAGGAGAAGGCCGGUUCCAAAUUCAUCGUCAAGUUCCCGUCCGGUGCGGAGGACAAUUGCAUUUCCAUCGGGGGAAAAGUAUAUCUUUUUGAUAAAGUAUUUAAGCCAAAUGCUACCCAAGACAAAGUAUAUAAUGAGGCAGCCAAGUCUAUUGUCACAGAUGUCCUCGCAGGAUAUAAUGGAACUAUCUUUGCGUAUGGUCAAACAUCUUCAGGUAAAACGCACACGAUGGAGGGAGUCAUUGGUGAUCCCAACAAGCAGGGCAUUAUCCCCAGAAUUGUCAAUGACAUUUUCAAUCACAUUUAUGGCAUGGAAGAGAACUUAGAGUUCCAUAUUAAAGUGUCAUACUUUGAAAUUUAUAUGGACAAGAUCCGGGAUCUUCUUGAUGUAUCCAAGGUUAACUUAAGUGUGCAUGAAGACAAGAAUCGUGUACCAUUUGUGAAGGGUGCAACUGAGCGGUUCGUUUCUAGUCCUGAGGAAGUGUUCGAGGUGAUAGAAGAAGGUAAAUCGAAUCGGCAUAUCGCCGUGACCAAUAUGAACGAACAUAGUUCGCGUUCCCAUUCCGUGUUUCUCAUUAACGUUAAACAAGAGAAUCUGGAGAAUCAGAAGAAGCUUUCUGGCAAAUUGUAUCUUGUCGAUUUAGCCGGCUCAGAAAAGGUUUCUAAAACUGGUGCUGAAGGAACGGUGCUCGACGAGGCGAAGAACAUUAACAAGUCUUUGUCGGCGCUCGGUAACGUAAUUUCAGCUCUGGCUGACGGCAAUAAAACUCACAUUCCUUACCGUGACUCUAAGUUGACGAGAAUACUGCAGGAAUCGUUGGGUGGUAACGCCAGGACUACGAUUAUCAUCUGUUGCUCUCCCGCUAGCUUCAACGAGUCUGAAACAAAGUCAACUUUAGAUUUCGGUAAACGCGCUAAGACCAUCAAGAACGUCGUAUGCGUGAAUGAGGAAUUAACGGCCGAAGAAUGGAAACGUCGCUACGAGCGCGAGAAAGAGAAGGCAGCGAAAUGGAAAGCCAAGGUGGACAAAUUGGAGGCAGAGUUGUCGCGUUGGCGGCAGGGUGAGACCGUCAAGCCUGAGGAGCAAGUUAACCUGAUCGAAGGACCGGAGGUUACCACACCAAUCAACGUCUCCAUAGAAGGUAAACUGGAUGACAGUCCAAUGCCAGCGACACCCGGUGGCGGCCUUAUGGCUGGUUCUCUUUCGAACGAGGAAAGACAGAAACUCGAGGAAGAACGUGAAAGAUUGUACCAACAAUUGGACGACAAAGAUGAAGAAAUCAAUCAGCAAUCGCAAUAUGUCGAGAAGCUGAAGGAGCAGAUGGAGGAACAGGAAGAGCUUAUCGCUAGCGCAAGGCGAGAUUAUGAGCAAUUACAGCAGGAGAUGAACCGAAUACAGCAAGAGAACGAGAGCGCUAAAGAGGAGGUGAAGGAGGUGCUACAAGCGUUGGAGGAGCUUGCGGUCAAUUACGACCAAAAGUCACAGGAGGUCGAGCUGAAGAACAAAGAACAAGAAACCAUGACGGAGGAGCUCCUGGCUAAGCAAGUAGCUCUCAACAAUACCGCGUCCGAGCUGCAGCAGUUGCGCGACAUGUCUGCACACCAGAGGAAGCGCAUCGCGGAGAUGCUUGCCAACUUCCUGAAAGACUUGGGGGAGAUCGGUGUGGCUAUCGGUGGCGACGAGAAUCUGAAAGUUGCACCAGAGAGCAAUGGCAAACUCGAGGAGGAGUUCACAGUGGCGCGGCUAUUUAUCAGCAAAAUGAAGUCUGAAGUAAAGAACUUGGUUCAGCGGUGUCAAGGAUUAGAAAGCUUUCAAGUAGACUGUAACAAGAAAGUUUCCGAAUACGAGAAGGACUUGGCCGAGUGCCGACUGUUGAUUUCUCAACAUGAGGCUCGUAUGCAAACGCUGACGGAAUCGAUGAAGGAAGCCGAGACGCGUAAGCGAGCCUUGGAAGAGGAUGUGGACGCAUUGCGUGAGGAAUGUGCGAAAUUGAAGGCCGCCGAGCAAGUGCAGGCGGUCACCAACAAAGAGAAGGCCGAGGAGAAGGAAGCGGCGACAAAAAUGCGAGUUGCACUCGAGGAACAGAUGGAUCAGCUGAGAGAUGCGCAUCAGAAACAGGUGGCCGCGCUUCGAGACGAACUAUCCGAGAAGCAGGAACUCAUCAGCGAACUGAAGGACCUGAAUCAGAAAUUCACUCUGGCGCACCAGCAGAUGCAGGCCGACUACGAGCGGCUGAAGCAAGAGGAGGCUAACAAAUCCGUCAAAUUGCAGGAACUCAUGCUGUUAAAUGAACGUCGGGAACAAGCAAGAAAGGAUCUCAAAGGAUUGGAGGAUACAGUAGCCAAAGAACUUCAGACCCUGCACAAUCUACGCAAGUUAUUCGUUCAAGACUUACAAGCUAGAAUAAAGAAGACCAUUAACGCAGAAGACAACGAAGACGAUGGCGGCUCACUUGCGCAGAAACAGAAGAUAUCCUUCUUGGAGAACAACCUGGACCAACUAACAAAGGUGCACAAGCAACUGGUUAGGGAUAAUGCCGAUCUUCGUUGCGAGCUACCCAAGUUGGAAAAAAGACUGCGGGCAACGAUGGAGCGCGUUAAGGCCCUGGAGACAGCAUUGCGCGAUGCCAAAGAGGGAGCAAUGCGAGAUCGUAAGCGCUACCAGUACGAGGUAGACAGAAUCAAGGAGGCUGUUAGGCAAAAGAAUCUGGCGCGUCGCGGACCGAGCGCGCAGAUUGCGAAACCAAUUCGCGCCGGUCAGCAUCAUUUGAGCACUGUCAACGCCAUCCGAACCGGCAAUCGUGAUUCAAUUAAUUAAAAACACCUACAUUGCGUCGUGGGUUUGUUCGAUUUUGUACAAAUGAUGUCGCCGCAGGCAGCUCUGCGCUUUAGAAUAUGGGUAACAGCGUACAGUGAUCGUGAGCAUAAUGCCAAAACCCUUCACUUUUACAGAAAACGAAUGCAAGAACGCUUUCAUCGACGAAAACAAAAGAAUUCCAGCGGCUCUUAUGUAUAAUGGAUAUGCAUAAAUGUGUUAUAAUUAUUAAGAUAAGGGCAAUAGUACUACAUCCGCAAGGAGAGCACCGCCAGUUCUUUUAAUUAAUUUUUUUUUCUUUUUUUUUUCGGAGCAAGCAUGUGCUUAGGUAUACAUUCGUACGAGAUAAGUGCAUUAAGUUAUAUAUGUAUAUAUAUAUAUAUACACACAUGUAUGUGUAUAUAUAUGUACAUAUAUAUGUGUAUACAUAUACACCAGCGCUGCAUGUCCCGUCGAUUUGUAAAUAGUUAAUUUUUAUAAAUUAUUUAAUUUAUAAUGUCAUGCAUGAUUCGAUAAUAAAGUGGAUGUCUAAUCGAACGACCGAUUACUCGGAGAAAGAGCCUCUCGUCUCACUCGGAAUAUUUAUGCAUAUUUCGCGCAGUGUUUGUCCCUAUUUAAAUCAUGUCCGUGUCUCAGCUUGACGUUUAAGAGUAAUAAUAGUAAAAAUGAGAAAAAAAGCUUGCCGCAAUCAUUAUUGAUCGAAUUCAUAGCGAGAAACUUCAAUCAGUAAGUAAAGACGAAAGAGGCGAAAAAUACUUAAUAGAAAACGUGUUCACACACACACACACACACACAGCGAGUUUGCACCAAACGAUGAUCAAGAGAACACGAUCGGACAUGCGGCUGUGUGCGAGUAUAAGAAUGAUUGUGGCUUACAAGUAUUCGUAAUCAUAAGAAAUCCGUUCCCCCUCCCCCGCCCUUUGACCCCGUAACUGAUAAGAAUUUUGCAACGCACGGCGUUCUUUCGGCACCAACCUCGCUGGAGGGCACGCUUGAUCGCCAUCAAGCGUAGAAUUGUCUCUCUAUAGCGUCUUUCGUGGAUCCACGUGCCGCCGUGCGUACAAUUUAGGAUGAGAAAAUUUUUUAGAACAUAUAUAUUCCGGCAGGAGGAACGCUAAUUUAUAUCACGACUGUCCCCCGCCUCCCUGUCGUCCCCUUUAAUUUACUCUUUAACUCUUAGCCUUCGUAACUGUAAUUUGCGCUGUCUCGUAGCGUCUUAACUUAAUUUAUUAUCGAUUCGCGCGUGUCAGAGGCUUACUUUCUCUCGCGUUAGGCUUGCGAAGCGCACAGAGCGACAACGUGAAGUCUUUUCGGUCUUUUGGUGCAUUUGUUUCUUUUGAAGUUUCUUUUUUCUCGCCUCGGGUGUGAGUGUGAGUAACGAACGGAUAGCUUAAUUAGAGUGAUGUGAUCGACUGUAUGUGCGUGUGUUUGCGCGCGUGUGAAUGUGUGUUCGUGAGUGAGAGUGAGAGAGAGAGAGAGAGAGUGUGUGUGUGUGUGUGUGUGUGUGUGAAUAUGUAUGUAUGUAUGGAGCUCCCGCUCGGCAGUUACCUGCAUGUCUGGUUGUGAAAAGCCGAUGAUGCACGGGUUCGCUUAUCAUGUUCCUAAGAGAAAAGAAAAAGAUAAGAGAAAAGAAAGCCCCCGCUGUCGAGAGCUGUCAGAAUUUCGCUUACAUGUGGCGUCGUCGUUAACCCCCUUCUUUUUUUUUUUUAGAUCUUCUUUUCUCUUGCGGAGUCUGAUUUUUUCGGAUUCUCUCGCGUAUACACAUUUAUACAUUGCGUUAUUCUCUCUCUUUUUUUCUCUAUCUAUCUUUUUCUCUCUUUUGACGCUCUUUUUCGAGUCGUUUAUACACAUAAAGAUAUAAAAAUACAAAUGUCAUUUGUACAUUUAAUUUUUAAGGCUUGUCUAGAGUAUGAGAGCUCGAUAGUCUUAUCGUUUGUUUAAUCGAGAUAAGAUAAAUUGCCCGAUCCGCCGGGCAAGGGUUAAUGAUGGCCUUCACACUCGUGCAUUUUAGUGUAACGCGGUAUUCUAUGUUUUUAUAAUCUCGCGUCUAUCAUUGUUAUUCCGCGAUCGCUUUUCUACCAAGGGAGUGUCUUCGAGACACUCGUUCACGCAACAAUUAUAAUUAUCGAUAAUUAUCGCAUAUACUCGAUGCAAUUUCUCUCGGGAACCACGUUUUUCUAGAAACGAUACGUUGACUCGACACGUGGGAAGUUUCGCGGCUUAAUGAAAGAAACAAAUACCUGUGUAUCCGACGAUAGAUUUAGUUGCGCUUAGAAUCUCUCUCGCGAGUGCGCGUCAAGAGCGAGCAGUUGAGAACACACACAUACACGUCGAGGAGACCGAUCGCGAGAAGGUAUCCGAAGUACUUUUAACUAACUAUUACUACUUCGUUUUUUUUUGCUACCUUCCGUUUCUCCUCUUUUGACUCUCUUUUGUGAUAUAUAUAUAUAUAUAUAUAUAUAUAUUGUAAACAUAUAUCGAGGGUGCGCGCGCGAAGAAGAAGGGAGAAGUUGCGUUUUUGCUCAUACGUAAGCAGAGACAAGUAAAAGUGUGUGGUGCAUAACGAGUGCAAUUAUCGUUAAACUAUUUUUGUCUCGGGUGUAUGUAAAUAUAUAUAUGUAUGCGUAAAUACAUUGUACCGUGCGUAAUGCAGUUGCGUUAGUUUCGUGGUGAACGUUUAAUCCGUCGUAAAGAGAAUCCCCCCGCGCCGCCUCCGUCGCUGCCGCCGCCGCCGCCGCCGCCUCCUCCGCAAAAGGUUACUUAGUGUCGUGCGUUUCGCCGUGAAGACUUGUUUAUUCUCAUAUCGCACAUAGAUUAACACGCGCAUUUAAACAGCGUUACGAUGUUUCUCUAUUUCUCUCCUCAAUCUUUUGGCGACGUCUUACGACGAACGAGCGCGCGUCUCCUUUAGAACGCUGAAUGUAUUUUCGAAUCGUGUUGCGCUAAGAAAACAACGCUAACGACGUGCUACUGUAUUACUAUAAUCCAUCGUGCUACGUUUCUUCUCGUCAUGGCUCUCGAGCGCUUUUUUCCAGUAAUUAAAAAAGAAAAAAUAAAAUCAAGUCGAAUGGAGAAAUUGAUAAUAUUGUCGGCUUCUGAUGAGCUGUUUCCGGAUAAUCAGUUCCGAUCCCGGAGAUCGGCAUUCUCUCCUUCCCGCUUCUGUACACCCUCUUGCGAUGAAUCACGAAAUUGCCGUUUGAAAGACCGCAGCCGACGUGUUUCGUGUUGCAGAUCGCGCGCCGCACGAUCGGGCUUAUCCAAUGAUACAUUUUAUUAUAUUGUAUAACGCGCUAUGUAUGUUUGAGCGUUAGUUGGCCGACGGAUUUGACAGGCGUGGAACGAGGAAAGAGACAGAGCUGUUAGUAAUAUUAUUUUCGUAAUGUCUUCGCCGUGUCUGAAAUUACAUUAUUAUACAGUCAAAGUAGACGAGUUAUAACGAUACGUGCGCACCAGCCAGUCACUGUUGAAGAGGAGGUUGAUCUACAAUCGUAGCCUUUCUUGCGUCGACCUUGUGCGAGACGAACGAAUUGUUUCUUGUUUUGUUAUUCUUCAAAAAGCAAAAACGAAAAUAGAAAUGAGAAGUGUGCCGUCGAACGGACGAGCCCGUUUUGUCGUGAAAUAAUUCGGAAGAUCUCGGCCAACGUUAACCGUUGCUUUCCGUACAAUAUAAAAACGAACGAGCGUGAAGUCGCAACGGCGAUUCCGCGUGGACGAGCCGUUUUGUGCGUGUACGACGAAAUCGUCGCACACAUCUCGCUGCAUGACAUCAACAGAAAACAGAAAAAUAUUCGAUCGCCGCAGGUUUCCCUUUAUGAUCUUAAUCGAAUUCAGAUCUACCUCAUCUGAAACAGCAAGUAGUACGAGAUAGAAGGAAAAGAAAACCGAUUAUAGCGAUUCUAAACAUUUUUCCUAGAAUUUAGACGGUAGAUUUAUAUGCAGGGUGUAGAGAGGCUGUAGCUAACAAGGUACUAUAAAUUGUAAUACAAUAUUCUCCCCUCGAAUUAAAACUGUAAUUUUAAGAUAAUUAUCGUUAAUAAUUGUAUGCGAUUGUCGCGAGAGAAGACGACGAUGCUUAUAUACAUUAAUGGAAGAAGAGAAAACCCAAGAAAAAGAAAAAUGACACACACUAAA
Molecule: RNA transcript, 7711 nt
Organism: Odontomachus brunneus
Lineage: Eukaryota; Metazoa; Arthropoda; Insecta; Hymenoptera; Formicidae
Gene: Khc
Gene name: kinesin heavy chain
Exons: 15
Source: RefSeq, a predicted model, not a curated record